This 239-nucleotide ribosomal RNA is filed under the name uncultured bacterium. Its description in RNAcentral is "partial 16S ribosomal RNA". It matches the Rfam family "Bacterial small subunit ribosomal RNA", at positions 531 to 769 of the family's 1533-position model. The record is from RNAcentral.
GGUCCGGGCGUUAUCCGGAUUUACUGGGUGUAAAGGGAGCGUAGACGGCGAUGCAAGUCUGAAGUGAAAGCCCGGGGCUCAACCCCGGGACUGCUUUGGAAACUGUAUAGCUAGAGUGCUGGAGAGGCAAGCGGAAUUCCUAGUGUAGCGGUGAAAUGCGUAGAUAUUAGGAAGAACACCAGUGGCGAAGGCGGCUUGCUGGACAGUAACUGACGUUGAGGCUCGAAAGCGUGGGGAGC